This 770-nucleotide long non-coding RNA is filed under the name Anas zonorhyncha (Eastern spot-billed duck). Its description in RNAcentral is "lncRNA (ENSAZOG00000003725.1)". The record is from RNAcentral. Lineage: Eukaryota; Metazoa; Chordata; Aves; Anseriformes; Anatidae.
AUGACCCCAACCCCAUGGCCACCCUGUCCCCAUGAUGACCCUGACCCCAUGGCCAUCCUGUCCCCAAUAUCCCCAACCCCACAGUCACCCUGUCUCCAAUGUCCCCAGCCCCAUGGCCACCCUGUCCCCAAUGUCCCCGACCCCACUGUUGUCUUGUCCCUAAUGAUGACCCUGACCCCAUGGCCAUCCUAUCCCCAAUGUCCCCUUGAUGACCCCAACCCUGCAGCCACCCUGUCCCUAAUGAUGACCCCAGCCCCAUGGCCAUCCUGUCCCCAAGGAUGUCCCUGACCCCACAGUCAUCCUGUUCCUAAGGAUGCCCCUGACCCCAUGGCCACCCUGUCCCCAAUGUCCCCAACCCCACAGCCACCCUGUCCCUAAUGUCCCCUUGAUGACCCCAACCUCACAGCCACCCUGUCCCCAACAACGUUCCUGACCCCAAAGCUGUCCUGUUCCUAAUGAUGACCCCAACUCCAUGGCCACCCUGUCCCCAAGGAUAUCCCUAACCCCAUGGCCACCCUGUCCCCAUGAUGACCCCGACCCCACAGCCAUCCUGUCCCCAACAAUGUCCCUGACCCCACAGCCAUCCUGUCCCCAGUGUCCCCAUGAUGUCCCCAACCCCGCAGCCAACCUGUCCCCAACAAUGUCCUGACCCCAUUGCCACCCUGUCCCCAUGAUGACCCCAACCCCACAGUCGUCCUGUCCCCAAUGUCCCCAUGAUGUCCCCAACCCCACAGCCACCCUGUCCCUAAUGAUGACCCCAACCCCGAUGC